This 1029-nucleotide long non-coding RNA is filed under the name Nicotiana benthamiana. Its description in RNAcentral is "long non-coding RNA (NBEN_LNC016417)". The record is from RNAcentral. Lineage: Eukaryota; Viridiplantae; Streptophyta; Magnoliopsida; Solanales; Solanaceae.
CACAAAUCCACCAAGCCACUUUAUAUUUUACACUAAGCCUUGGUCGAAUAACUUCACAUUCAAUCUCGCUCAAAUUAAUUCAUAUUCGACCUCGCUCGAAUUACUUCACAUUCGAUCUCGCUAGAAUUAUGUGAUUUUCGACCUCAUCAAACCUCGACCUCAUCCGAGAUAAUUAAUACUCGACCUUAAGUCAGUCUAUGUUCGUCUCAACCAAUAUCAAACAUAUACAAACACCGAAAAUCAUGGGCUUCCCCACAUAGCAAAAAAAAGAGGAAAAGAGAAUGAGAAUCCAUAAAUACAUAGAAAAAAGGGAAUUGUUCCAUUUCAUUAUCAGAUUACAAUACUUUAUACAAAGGGCUUAGGAUGCCCUCACAAAAAUAGCAAAGCAAAAAAAACUAAGUAAAACAGCUUCACACUACAUCAUCCCCGUCAGCAUACUAAUCAUCAUACCAAGGAUCAGAGGCAAGCCUAUCUGCUGCAUCUUAUCCUCAUCCCCGCUAGGCGUACUGGGGUCGUAACCACAAAUUUCACGGGUUGCACAUGCCUUGACACGGAUGCCCUCAAGCUCUAUUUCAGAAACUUUCCGGGAAACCUUCAGAGAUUUAUACACGUCAAGUUGAGCCUCAGCAUGGACCCACAUCUCAUACAACUCCUACGGUUCAACGAGAUUGGCAGAAGUAUGAGAUUUAGAUGCUUGUGAAAUCAAGUCUCCUCGGCCCUUAAGAUAACGACUUUCUCGUUUAACCCGGACAAUUCUGCCUCCAAACCUUGGAUCCGUUCUUCCAACCUAGCCACCUUAAGCUCCGACUUCUCCUCCUCAUUAACUCGCUCGGACGUGCAAACACGGAGGGCAUCUUCUAGGGCUGCCGCUUUUACCAUAACAUCCAUUCUGCCUUUCUCGGCCCAACUCGAUUCUUCAACCUUGGCACUCAGCUCACCCAUCAGUUCGAAAACCCUUUCCUCCCACUACCUGAGUUGAGGCGUUAAGGAUGCUACCUGCGUCAGAAGGUCGGCGUUCUCAGCCAUCGC